Molecule: ribosomal RNA, 443 nt
Filed under: uncultured bacterium
Lineage: Bacteria
Description: partial 16S ribosomal RNA
Rfam family: Bacterial small subunit ribosomal RNA
Source: RNAcentral
CCUACGGGAGGCAGCCGUGGGGAAUAUUGGGCAAUGGGCGCAAGCCUGACCCAGCAACGCCGCGUGAAGGAAGAAGGCUUUCGGGUUGUAAACUUCUUUUCUCAGGGACGAAGCAAGUGACGGUACCUGAGGAAUAAGCCACGGCUAACUACGUGCCAGCAGCCGCGGUAAUACGUAGGUGGCAAGCGUUAUCCGGAUUUACUGGGUGUAAAGGGCGUGUAGGCGGGAAAGCAAGUCAGAUGUGAAAACCAUGGGCUCAACCUGUGGCCUGCAUUUGAAACUGUUUUUCUUGAGUACUGGGGAGGCAGACGGAAUUCCUAGUGUAGCGGUGAAAGGCGUAGAUAUUAGGAGGAACACCAGUGGCGAAGGCGGUCUGCUGGACAGCAACUGACGCUGAGGCGCGAAAGCGUGGGGAGCAAACAGGAUUAGAGACCCGAGUAGUC